AUCCCGGAUGUGGAAGUCUGGGUGUGAAGGUCUGCUAGGGUGAUCAACUAGAUAGCCAAUUGGCAAACGGUUUCAACUGCUAGACUACUCAUGAUCACGAUCUGGUCGAUCGGAGCUAUAGAUAUAGAGUUAUCUCUAUGCAGACUCUGUAGUAGGUUAUGGCAAUGUCUCAAGAAGUAAGAAUGAAAUGAAGUCAACAGCUGUAAUCAAGUGGACUGCGAUGAGUAUAACUUGUCAUAACUUGUCAUAAUCAUGUCAUACACAGAAUUUGCACUAACUUUGCAAUUGCUGUCUGUAUACAUUCAAAGUAUUGAUACUGGAUCAGAGUGAGGUUUUAUGAUGGGACGAGACGCAGACGUUAUGCUUUGUGGAGUAUGAAACCGCAGUGAUGCAUUGAUGGCUUACUGGAUCGAGUCCUAUGAGGAUUACUAUUUGUCCAAGUGCUUAUUUGCGAGUACACCUUGGGUUAUAUAGAGAGCUGUCCAUCGAGUAUUCAAGAGUUUAGUGGAGGAAGACGUAGAAAUUACUGGAUGGAACUUCAGACAAUGCUUUUCUUCUGAUGAGAAUAAAGUGUUGACAAACAAGAUCGUGGAAAAUGUCAGCAGUUUGAACCCCUCCUUUGACACUAGUGUGAUACGAG
This is a long non-coding RNA of Corticium candelabrum, 640 nucleotides long. RefSeq lists it as uncharacterized. The record is from RefSeq and is a predicted model, not a curated record. The transcript has 4 exons. Lineage: Eukaryota; Metazoa; Porifera; Homoscleromorpha; Homosclerophorida; Plakinidae.